CCUACGGGAGGCAGCAGUGGGGAAUAUUGGGCAAUGGGCGCAAGCCUGACCCAGCAACGCCGCGUGAAGGAAGAAGGCUUUCGGGUUGUAAACUUCUUUUCUGAGGGACGAAGAAAGUGACGGUACCUCAGGAAUAAGCCACGGCUAACUACGUGCCAGCAGCCGCGGUAAUACGUAGGUGGCAAGCGUUAUCCGGAUUUAUUGGGUGUAAAGUGCGUGUAGGCGGGAAAGCAAGUCAGAUGUGAAACCUCAGGUCUCAACCCUGAGCCUGCAUUUGAAACUGUUUUUCUGGAGUGCUGGAGAGGAAAGCGGAAUUCCGUGUGUAGCGGUGAAAUGCGUAGAUAUACGGAGGAACACCAGUGGCGAAGGCGGAUUGCUGGACAGUAACUGACGCUGAGGCGCGAAAGCGUGGGGAGCAAACAGGAUUAGAUACCCGAGUAGUC
This 443-nucleotide ribosomal RNA is filed under the name uncultured bacterium. RNAcentral's name for it is "partial 16S ribosomal RNA". It matches the Rfam family "Bacterial small subunit ribosomal RNA", at positions 338 to 795 of the family's 1533-position model. The record is from RNAcentral.